This 321-nucleotide ribosomal RNA is filed under the name Triticum aestivum (bread wheat). Its description in RNAcentral is "partial small subunit ribosomal RNA". Lineage: Eukaryota; Viridiplantae; Streptophyta; Magnoliopsida; Poales; Poaceae. The record is from RNAcentral.
GACAUUGUGAUUGUCCUUGAUCAACAAAAAGAGUAUAUAGCUCUUCGGGAAUGUGCCAUUUUGGGGAUUCCUACCAUUUCUUUAGUCGAUACAAAUUGUGACCCGGAUCUCGUGAAUAUAUCGAUUCCAGCCAACGAUGACACUAUGACUUCAAUUUGAUUGAUUCUUAACAAAUUAGUAUUUUCAAUUUGUGAGACGGGGGCCCUGACCAGUCCGGCCCCCAGCCGAACACAAUUCCGGAGACCCAUGUGGCUCCAGAAUCGAGUGAGCAACCCCCUUCAAAGGAGGGGGAGUGCCAACUCCAGCGGCAACCUCCACUAA